AAAUUAUUUAACCAAUUUCAAGUUUUUGACUACAUUUAUUUUUUGUAAAAUAUUUAAUUAAAAUCCAAAUUCAGACCUGCAUCAAGCUUGAAUAUUGUGUCCAUUUUUGACCUUACUGUUCAGCAUUGGACAUCUGCAGACAUAUCUAGCUGCACUAGGCAAGGCACAUUUUUAGCCAAUGGUAUUUAGAUAAGAAAUACUUUACAGCAGGA
RNAcentral lists this long non-coding RNA (212 nucleotides) under Mytilus galloprovincialis (Mediterranean mussel). The record is from RNAcentral. Lineage: Eukaryota; Metazoa; Mollusca; Bivalvia; Mytilida; Mytilidae.